UUUAUCGGAGAGUUUGAUCCUGGCUCAGGACGAACGCUGGCGGCGUGCCUAAUACAUGCAAGUCAAGCGGACAGAUGGGAGCUUGCUCCCUGAUGUUAGCGGCGGACGGGUGAGUAACACGUGGGUA
This 127-nucleotide ribosomal RNA is filed under the name Bacillus halotolerans. RNAcentral's name for it is "partial 16S ribosomal RNA". It matches the Rfam family "Bacterial small subunit ribosomal RNA", at positions 1 to 123 of the family's 1533-position model. The record is from RNAcentral. Lineage: Bacteria; Bacillati; Bacillota; Bacilli; Caryophanales; Bacillaceae.